Molecule: ribosomal RNA, 468 nt
Filed under: uncultured bacterium
Lineage: Bacteria
Description: partial 16S ribosomal RNA
Rfam family: Bacterial small subunit ribosomal RNA
Source: RNAcentral
GACGAACGCUGGCGGCGUGCUUAACACAUGCAAGUCGAACGGACCUGUCCUGCUUUUUUGUGGUGCUCGAGUGGCUAACGAGUGAGUAACUCACACGUAACUUGCCCUUCCCUUUCUGCUAACUUCCGGACACUGUGGCUUAUUCCUGCUAGGUGCUCCUUCUGCUUGGUGUGGGUUGGAGAGUUUCGGCUUUUUUGGUUUGACUCGCGGCUUCUCAGCCUGUUGGUGAGGUAGUGGCUUACUAAGGCUUGGACGGUUAGCCGGACUGGGAGGGUGACCGGCGACAUUGGGACUGAGAUACGGCCCAGAGUAGUAGGGGAGGAAGCAGUGGGGAAGAUUGCAGAAUGAGCGGAAGACGGAGGGAGAAACGCGGCGUGCGGGAUGACGGCAUUCGGGUUGUAAACCGCUUUAGCCGGUGACGAAGCGUGAGUGACGGUAAUGGGUAAAGAAGCACCGGCUAACUACGUG